UCGGCCCUGAAUCAAGACCAGCAGUGUGCUGAAGCUGUUGGUUUCAAGCAGGAGCCUAAAGAAAUGUCUUUCUAUGGUCUGUUGGCCAUUUUAAAACUUUGGAACAUGUAAUGGCCAAUUCAUUGGAAAGAAACACCA
Small nucleolar RNA from Ochotona princeps (American pika), 138 nucleotides. Lineage: Eukaryota; Metazoa; Chordata; Mammalia; Lagomorpha; Ochotonidae. The record is from RefSeq and is a predicted model, not a curated record.